AGCUUGCUCCCUGAUGUUAGCGGCGGACGGGUGAGUAACACGUGGGUAACCUGCCUGUAAGACUGGGAUAACUCCGGGAAACCGGGGCUAAUACCGGAUGGUUGUUUGAACCGCAUGGUUCAAACAUAAAAGGUGGCUUCGGCUACCACUUACAGAUGGACCCGCGGCGCAUUAGCUAGUUGGUGAGGUAACGGCUCACCAAGGCAACGAUGCGUAGCCGACCUGAGAGGGUGAUCGGCCACACUGGGACUGAGACACGGCCCAGACUCCUACGGGAGGCAGCAGUAGGGAAUCUUCCGCAAUGGACGAAAGUCUGACGGAGCAACGCCCCGUGAGUGAUGAAGGUUUUCGGAUCAUAAAGCUCUGUUGUUAGGGAAGAACAAGUACCGUUCGAAUAGGG
RNAcentral lists this ribosomal RNA (400 nucleotides) under Bacillus subtilis. RNAcentral describes it as "bacterial SSU rRNA". It matches the Rfam family "Bacterial small subunit ribosomal RNA", at positions 77 to 469 of the family's 1533-position model. The record is from RNAcentral. Lineage: Bacteria; Bacillati; Bacillota; Bacilli; Caryophanales; Bacillaceae.